This 350-nucleotide unclassified non-coding RNA is filed under the name fungal sp. Its description in RNAcentral is "partial internal transcribed spacer region". The stretch from base 1 to 46 matches the Rfam family "Eukaryotic small subunit ribosomal RNA", at positions 1786 to 1831 of the family's 1831-position model. The record is from RNAcentral. Lineage: Eukaryota; Fungi.
AAGUCGUAACAAGGUAACCGUAGGUGAACCUGCGGUUGGAUCAUUAAAAAAAAAACAUAAGCAUCGAUGCAGUGUCCAUCGCUGCAUUGGUGCGUUGGAGUAGCAUUUAAGUGCGAACCCAACUUAAACACUUUGUGAAUUGUAUCCUGUCUCUGGCGGGCGAGCUUCCUUUGGAAGUUCAGCAUUGGGGGGUCCCCGGUGCGUCAGCGCAGGUCCACGUUGAAGUGGAUCUGCGCGACACCCGUCGAACGUGCAUCAACUCGUGCUCUGUCUUCAGAAAGUCUCAACUUUACACAUUAUUGUAUCACAAUAUACAAACAACUUUUGGCAACGGAUCUCUUGGCUCACUC